Bufo gargarizans (Asiatic toad) is the source of this 1538-nucleotide long non-coding RNA. RefSeq lists it as uncharacterized. The transcript has 3 exons. The record is from RefSeq and is a predicted model, not a curated record. Lineage: Eukaryota; Metazoa; Chordata; Amphibia; Anura; Bufonidae.
UCCCUUGAUGUUAACAUCUACUGUAGACUGACAUCGCUGCAGCCAAUCACUGGCUAUGGUGGUGACCGGCUUUCCUUAAGAGAGAUGGUCACAUGACACAAGGGGAUCCAGUCUCCGAAGAGCCCCCCCCACACACACACCUUCCUGCACUGCCCCUUUUAAUGUUUCGUGACUUAUUUGUGAUGGAUGGUGGCCAGUAGCAGUCAUCGGCUUGCAGGGGUGGUCCGGGUGGGACAGCUACUUUUUUGCAGCAGACUGCUCCACUUAUACGGUAUAAAGUGAUCGGUCAUACCGGGGAAUGUCCCACUGUUACUCUUUUGCUUGCAAAGUUAAGAAGCUCAAGGUGUUUGGGACACAGAAGAACCAACAUAUCAACCACUGGAUGGUGGACUAUGUGAGAUCCAGACUGAGUUAUGUGACGACUGGUCUGGAAAGUACACUUCUAGGUUUAGAGGGGUUGUCCAGGAUUUUGUUUUUGACAGCCUAUCUUCAGGAAACAUCUGGUUGUCAGGUUCCGACACCCUGCACCCUCACAGCUAUGCACUGGAGCAGUGCCGCAUUAACCAGCGCCGUCCAUUGCACGAUGGAUGGAGCUUUUUAGUUGCGGCAGAGACGUCCUGCACCAGAGAUACUCUGAAACAGCUGAUGGGUGGGUGUCGGACCCCCACCGAUCUGAUAUCAAUGGCCUAUCCUGAGGAGCUCUGCAUCAGUUAUGGUAUAUGGGGCAGAAGGAUGACCACCUCUACCUCCCACAUUGGGUUGCCCCCAGAUACUGUGUUCACACGUGGAUGUUGUAUGAUGGGGGUAACCCUGCCGCACUCUCCCGCAGCUCCUGACCGUAUCCAGCUCUCUGCUCUGCCUGCUUUAUAUCUGGAUCUGCUAUGAAAAUUUCCACUUCCAUGUCUCCCACUUCUACGCCCACCUGGGUUACCCCAAGGCCCAGCACGUGGUGGGGCAGAGGUACCUGAGAGGAGUCGGCGUCCACCAGGAUCCAGCAAUGGCUUCCUACUGGUUCAGCCGCGCCGGAGGCGACAACGGAACUCUGACCUUCAGCAGCUGAAUAAGCACAGAUACAAGAGCCGGCCCCUGCAAGAUCAGGGAGACCAAAUCACCGCGUCGUCCCCUUUCUGAUGCAGAUCUACAGUAUGGAAACCCUACAAACAGCUCCCCGUAUCUCAGCUUCCUGGACCUCUGUGAGGUGGUCUAUGUGACAGCGCUGCCCCCUCCUCCAGGAGCUGCACGCCGCCUGCGCCUAUAGACAUGUGUAUUACAGUUGGCGGGUACAUGAGGUGCAGUUAAUGUGCCAAUGUCCCCAGAUGAUACUGGUAGAAGAAUUGGAAAAUCCGGGUGUGGAGAACAUUAGAGCGAAGUCCUGAGAUAAAAAGUUGCAGAUUAACAGAAUCUGCACCAAGUGCUGCCUAAGGGAGUUAUCUGACAAGAGGCUGACUCAGCACUGACCUCUGACCUCAGCCACCUAUGACAUCACUGCACCAUCAGAGUAUACCAGUCACCUAUGACAUCACUGCCCCAUCAGAGUA